GACGAACGCUGGCGGCGUGCCUAAUACAUGCAAGUAGAACGCACAGUUUAUACCGUAGCUUGCUACACCAUAGACUGUGAGUUGCGAACGGGUGAGUAACGCGUAGGUAACCUGCCUGGUAGCGGGGGAUAACUAUUGGAAACGAUAGCUAAUACCGCAUAAUAUUGAUUAUUGCAUGAUAAUUAAUUGAAAGGUGCAAUUGCACCACUACCAGAUGGACCUGCGUUGUAUUAGCUAGUAGGUGAGGUAACGGCUCACCUAGGCGACGAUACAUAGCCGACCUGGGAGGGGGAUCGGCCAAACUGGGACUGAGACACGGCCCAGACUCCUACGGGAGGCAGCAGUAGGGAAUCUUCGGCAAUGGACGAAAGUCUGACCGAGCAACGCCGGGGGAGUGAAGAAGGUUUUCGGAUCUUAAAGCUCUGUUGUAAGAGAAGGGGGGGUGGGGGGGGGGAAAUUUCCCCCUGGGACGGUUUUUUACCAGAAAGGGACGGCUAACUACGU
This 504-nucleotide ribosomal RNA is filed under the name uncultured bacterium. RNAcentral describes it as "partial 16S ribosomal RNA". It matches the Rfam family "Bacterial small subunit ribosomal RNA", at positions 28 to 506 of the family's 1533-position model. The record is from RNAcentral.